GGACUACCGGGGUAUCUAAUCCCGUUUGCUCCCCUGGCUUUCGCGCCUCAGCGUUAGAAGAGGUCCAGUGGGUCGCUUUCGCCACCGGCGUUCCUUCUGAUAUCAACGCAUUUCACCGCUCCACCAGAAGUUCCACCCACCCCUACCUCCCUCGAGUUCGCCAGUAUCAAAGGCACUUCUACAGUUGAGCUGCAGGAUUUCACCCCUGACUUGGCAAACCGCCUACGCGCCCUUUAAGCCCAGUGAUUCCGAACAACGUUCGCACGGUUCGUCUUACCGCGGCGGCUGGCAC
This 292-nucleotide ribosomal RNA is filed under the name uncultured bacterium. RNAcentral's name for it is "partial 16S ribosomal RNA". The record is from RNAcentral. RNAcentral also lists the same sequence under 2 other names.